AUGUCAAAAAUGGCUACUGAUUAUUUCUCUAAUCUAUUUACUGCAGACCACACGCUACAGGCUGGGCCAGUAAUUGAUCUCAUUAAUAACCGGGUCAGUGAGGACAUGAACACGGGAUUAUGUGCUGACUUUUCAGACAAGGAACUUUCUGAUGUUUUGUUCCAAAUUGGGCCUUUGAAAGCACCGGGGCCGGAUGGUUUCCCUGCCCGAGUGUUCCAAAGAAACUGGUCUGUCAUGAAAGAGCAGGUAAUUAAGGCGGUGAAGGAGUUCUUUCGGACAGGUAUCAUGCCAGAUGGGGUUAACAACACCUCUAUUGUAUUAAUUCCCAAGGUGGACAAUCCAACGAAGCUUGCGGAAUUCCGAUCUAUCAGUUUGUGUAAUGUUAUAUAUAAGGUGGUUGCUAAGUGGCUUGUAAACCGUCUCCGCCCCAUAUUGGAUGAAAUUAUCUCACCUGCACAGAGUGCCUUUGUUCCUGGACGGCUCAUUACGGAUAAUGCAUUGCUGGCCUUUGAAUGCAUACAUUAUAUCCAACAGGAAAAGGACCCAAGGAAAAGUUUCUGUGCAUACAAAUUUGAUCUCUCCAAAGCCUAUGAUCGGGUUGACUGGAUUUUCUUGAGGCAAAUGAUGCAAAAGAUG
This 636-nucleotide ribosomal RNA is filed under the name Triticum aestivum (bread wheat). RNAcentral describes it as "partial small subunit ribosomal RNA". Lineage: Eukaryota; Viridiplantae; Streptophyta; Magnoliopsida; Poales; Poaceae. The record is from RNAcentral.